GGAGGCAGGACCGGCGCUGGCCGUGCUGUGCCGUGCCGUGCCGUGCCGUGCCAUGGCGGUGCCGGGGCGCCGGAGGGGGCGGCGCGGCCGUGCCGUGUGUGUAGCAGUGCGUGCCGUGUCGUCGUAGACCCAGUCGAUGUCUCAUGUAGCGCAGAGGUGCCCUGUAGCUCAGUGCCUAGGAGGUGACGUAGCGCCUCGAAUAAACGCAACGCGUGGAGUUUUACCCCGCCGGAGUCGUGUGCUCCCUGGGCUUCCCGAAUUGCUGCGGCCUGCUGGGGCAAUGCCCCCCGAAGGGCGCCCCAGGGCAGAGCACCGUGCUCUGCGGAGUGGCCCAGGCACGGCCGGAACGGCUCAGCGGAGCAAUGCAAGCGCCAGCGCCGGGUGCUCCGUUUGCAGAGGGAGGGCUGGGCAGGGGGUGCGCUGCCUGAUCGCAGCCUUGCUCCUGCCCGGCCUCUCCCGCAGGCAAGGAGAAAAGGCAGCCAGCGUGAUCCCUGGACGGGCAGCAAGGAUCGCGAGACGGGGAGCCAAAUUACUGCAGAGCGUGGCAUUAGCUAGAGCGCUGCUGGAGCCGGCUGCUUCGUCUGCCGUGAGCGUCACGCGGGAAAAGUUGGAAAUGGUUCAGACAAGAAAGUCUGAGGCCUGAAACACCUCCUGCAUGUUAAUGGAGCGAACCUCUCGAGGUGCUUGGGUUAGGGGAGGGCCGGGGGGUGAAACUUUGGCGAUGCUGCCCCGAGGGGACGUGCCCUGCCCGGCCCGGCUGCGCGCCUGCCUUUCCGGAGGAAUAUCCUCGGAUACCUGGGCUCCUACCUCGGCCAAGUCGUUCCUGCGCCUGCCUCUGGAGUUGCUAUAGAAACUGCCGUGCGCCAGAGCCAAGCACCCGCAGGGAGCCCCUGCUCCGCAGCCCAGCGAUCCCCCAGCGGCCGGGGCACACGGGGGCAGCUCGCAGGGCUGGCGGCGAGCCCCGAGGCCGGGCAGAGGGGCGCCUCCGAGAGCCGGGCGCCUCCAAGAGCGUUGCUACAUCUCCCUGGCGUCCCAGCCCUGGCGCCGGACAGCUCCAUUCUCAUCCCAACCUUCGUGACUUGGCACCCUAAACCAUGCAGUGAACCCGGCCCUGCGUGGUCCGGCCCCGGCAGAGGCUCCGGGCACGUCCGCCAGCCACAGCGCCGCUUGGCCGUUUCAGGCCCGUUUUUCUGCGAAAAAGCACCGAUCUGGCGCUGAGGCUGCAGCGGGGCAUUACUGCAUUAGCGGCUGUUUAAUGUCAGAGGAGCAUGUUCAUGCGCCGCAUCCAAGCGGUUUUGAGUGCCUUAGUUUUCAGCAUCAUUUGCUUGUUUACUAGCAGAAAUUAGGAAUAUGACUUGCAGCUUCUAAUGAGCGCUCGAGCCGUGAUAGCGGCAAUUGGUGAGCAGAGAUAGUGAGGGGAAGAUUCAUCACUAUGUAAAGAUUCAUUAUCCCAUAAAGAUAUUUGCCGUGGUUACACUAAAAUAGUAGCUCAUCGGGUGGCCCUGCUUUUCUGGGGUUCGGCUCUGGAAGGGAACAGAAAGAAAAAUCUGUGACCUUCCCUAAAAGUUUGGCUUUCUCAUUCUUUUCUAUCUCUACUUUUGGGCGCAGGACCAGAAUCCUGCCCAAACGACGGGAAGAGAGAGGCUAGAGCGAUAGCCAAGGACAGGUCAGGAUGGAUGGAGAAAUCUUCAGUCAAAAGGCAAAAUAAAUCACGAUGGCCUUGAACGCGCUGGAAGACU
Apteryx owenii (little spotted kiwi) is the source of this 1739-nucleotide long non-coding RNA. The record is from Ensembl. NCBI's taxonomy places the organism in Eukaryota, Metazoa, Chordata, Aves, Apterygiformes, Apterygidae.